GUCUGCAGUUAUAUCACUCUGCAACUCACAACUAGCAACACUGAAGCUAAGCAGGUGUGAGCCUGUUCAGUACCUGGGUAGGAGACCUCCUGGGAAAAGCUAAGGUUGCUGCUGGAA
RNAcentral lists this ribosomal RNA (117 nucleotides) under Lepisosteus oculatus (spotted gar). The record is from RNAcentral. Lineage: Eukaryota; Metazoa; Chordata; Actinopteri; Semionotiformes; Lepisosteidae.